Molecule: non-coding RNA, 812 nt
Organism: Petromyzon marinus (sea lamprey)
Lineage: Eukaryota; Metazoa; Chordata; Hyperoartia; Petromyzontiformes; Petromyzontidae
Source: RefSeq, a predicted model, not a curated record
ACGACCGGUACCAGCGGUGUCAAGAUCGGCCUCUGUGGAGGAGGCUCGUGAAGGACGCUGCUACUGGGCAGUUGGAGGCAGUCGCCCUCCAACAACAGCGGAGGGACGAGGAGCUUCGCUCGUGGACGCAGACGCAGUUGCACGGCCUGCGCACUCGAUAGCUACGCCACGUGCACAGUAAAGAUUCCGUUACGCGUGGUAAACAACAACAACAACAAAAAAGAGAGAGCGGCUGAACCGUCACAAACGCGCGAUGCAGUGGCGUAGCUGUGGAGUGUGCAGGCGGUGCAACUGCGACCCGGAGCUCAGGCACCGGGCUAUAAAGAGCAUCAUGAGAUAGGCGCCGUCAUUUCAUUCGUCACAGCAGAGCCAAUGCCAUCCACGCUACGCUACACACUUCCAGGGAAACUCACGAGGGACAGCUCUUUUGUUUUUGUUUUUACCGGCAGAGAAAUAGGACACCUGCCUGAGAUCAACAGCGAAUGCUGCCACUGCCCGGGGUAUUGCAUGCACGACGAAAGCGUCUCCCUCUUCUGUGCAAGGCGCCCAUCCAUCCCACUCGCAUACGAGCGUUUGCCGUCUCCUGCCGAGCCACCACCGAUUCCUGGUGACUCAACGUUCCCUCGACCUCCGGCGCGUCCGUUUCUCCUUCAACACCACCGCCGCGGCCCGUACCAGGUUUCCAAGCUCAAGCGUGGCAUCUGCCGAGGUGCGCCGGCAUCCGACCGCUGCUGCGCCAGCUAAGCCAACAGGAAAAGAUAUGUGCUUGUGUGUGUCUGUGCGUGUGUGUGUCUGUGCGUGUGUGUGUGCGU